This 497-nucleotide ribosomal RNA is filed under the name uncultured bacterium. RNAcentral describes it as "partial 16S ribosomal RNA". It matches the Rfam family "Bacterial small subunit ribosomal RNA", at positions 28 to 507 of the family's 1533-position model. The record is from RNAcentral.
GAUGAACGCUGGCGGCGUGCCUAAUACAUGCAAGUCGAGCGAACAGACGAGGAGCUUGCUCCUCUGACGUUAGCGGCGGACGGGUGAGUAACACGUGGAUAACCUACCUAUAAGACUGGGAUAACUUCGGGAAACCGGAGCUAAUACCGGAUAAUAUAUUGAACCGCAUGGUUCAAUAGUGAAAGACGGUUUUGCUGUCACUUAUAGAUGGAUCCGCGCCGCAUUAGCUAGUUGGUAAGGUAACGGCUUACCAAGGCGACGAUGCGUAGCCGACCUGAGAGGUUGAACGGCCGCAUUGGAACUGAGAAACGGUCCAGACUCCUACGGGAGGCAGCAGUAGGGAAUCUUCCGCAAUGGGCGAAAGCCUGACGGAGCAACGCCGCGUGAGUGAUGAAGGUCUUCGGAUCGUAAAAAUCUGUUAUUAGGGAAGAAAAAAUGUGUAAGUAACUAUGCACGUCUUGACGGUACCUAAUCAGAAAGCCACGGCUAAGUACGUG